GCAGUCGAGCGACAGAUAAGGAGCUUGCUCCUUUGACGUUAGCGGCGGACGGGUGAGUAACACGUGGGUAACCUACCUAUAAGACUGGAAUAACUCCGGGAAACCGGGGCUAAUGCCGGAUAACAUUUAGAACCGCAUGGUUCUAAAGUGAAAGAUGGUUUUGCUAUCACUUAUAGAUGGACCCGCGCCGUAUUAGCUAGUUGGUAAGGUAAUGGCUUACCAAGGCAACGAUACGUAGCCGACCUGAGAGGGUGAUCGGCCACACUGGAACUGAGACACGGUCCAGACUCCUACGGGAGGCAGCAGUAGGGAAUCUUCCGCAAUGGGCGAAAGCCUGACGGAGCAACGCCGCGUGAGUGAUGAAGGGUUUCGGCUCGUAAAACUCUGUUAUUAGGGAAGAACAAACGUGUAAGUAACUGUGCACGUCUUGACGGUACCUAAUCAGAAAGCCACGGCUAACUACGUGCCAGCAGCCGCGGUAAUACGUAGGUGGCAAGCGUUAUCCGGAAUUAUUGGGCGUAAAGCGCGCGUAGGCGGUUUCUUAAGUCUGAUGUGAAAGCCCACGGCUCAACCGUGGAGGGUCAUUGGAAACUGGGAGACUUGAGUGCAGAAGAGGAAAGUGGAAUUCCAUGUGUAGCGGUGAAAUGCGCAGAGAUAUGGAGGAACACCAGUGGCGAAAGCGACUUUCUGGUCUGUAACUGACGCUGAUGUGCGAAAGCGUGGGGAUCAAACAGGAUUAGAUACCCUGGUAGUCCACGCCGUAAACGAUGA
Molecule: ribosomal RNA, 771 nt
Filed under: Staphylococcus arlettae
Lineage: Bacteria; Bacillati; Bacillota; Bacilli; Caryophanales; Staphylococcaceae
Description: bacterial SSU rRNA
Rfam family: Bacterial small subunit ribosomal RNA
Source: RNAcentral